AACGAACGCUGGCGGCAGGCUUAACACAUGCAAGUCGAGCGAGACCUUCGGGUCUAGCGGCGGACGGGUGAGUAACGCGUGGGAACGUGCCCUUCUCUACGGAAUAGCCCCGGGAAACUGGGAGUAAUACCGUAUACGCCCUUUGGGGGAAAGAUUUAUCGGAGAAGGAUCGGCCCGCGUUGGAUUAGGUAGUUGGUGGGGUAAUGGCCCACCAAGCCGACGAUCCAUAGCUGGUUUGAGAGGAUGAUCAGCCACACUGGGACUGAGACACGGCCCAGACUCCUACGAGAGGCAGCAGUGGGGAAUCUUAGACAAUGGGGGCAACCCUGAUCUAGCCAUGCCGCGGGAGUGAUGAAGGCCUUAGGGUUGUAAAGCUCUUUCAGCUGGGAAGAUAAUGACGGUACCAGCAGAAGAAGCCCCGGCUAACUCC
This 430-nucleotide ribosomal RNA is filed under the name uncultured bacterium. Its description in RNAcentral is "partial 16S ribosomal RNA". It matches the Rfam family "Bacterial small subunit ribosomal RNA", at positions 29 to 504 of the family's 1533-position model. The record is from RNAcentral.